Long non-coding RNA from Equus caballus (horse), 2310 nucleotides. The record is from Ensembl. NCBI's taxonomy places the organism in Eukaryota, Metazoa, Chordata, Mammalia, Perissodactyla, Equidae.
UAUUUGGCAACAAGAUAAAGUAGGAGGUGGGCUGACUCCGGGGUCAGGUGAGCUGGGUGGACACAGUCUGCCUCUCACUAGAUGUGUGAGGUUGUUCAUUCAUUCAACAAACACACAUGGGUGGGCGUGUGCCAGGCAACGUCCUGGACAUCAGAGAGUCAGUGGUGAGUCGCUGCCUUCUUGCUGCUUACAGACUAGUGAGAGACAGACAUUAGUCAGAUAGCCACACAGAUACAUGUAUACACCACAAUAGAUGCUCUGCAGGGUAGGGACAGGUGGAUACGAAAGCAAUAAACAAGGAUAUCUGGUAGUGUCUGCCAGACUUGAAGAGGUCUCCCUGAGGAUGUGGUGCUUGAGCUGAGAUGUAAGAAUGUGCAGGUGUCAGCCAAGUAAGGAGCAGGGUAGAAGAAUAGCAGUUACAGGAAAACAAACAGCACAUGCAAAGGCACUGGGGUGGAAGGCAUCCAGCAUAUCCUAGAAAUAGCUCAGGGAGUGUUGUUUACCCUUCUGUUUAGCAACAAAGGAAUACGUCAAAAUGCCUGCCUCUCCAGGUCAUUGUGAAUAUCAAAUGAAACGCCACGUAGGGAACCGCCCAUCAAGAGCUUCCCCUUUCCAGCCUUGGGAAAGCCAGGCAGGGCUCUGAAGUCCCUCAUCCUGGGGACAGAGGGUGGGGGACUGGGCUACAGGUCCCAGGAAAGUGCUGACUCCGUGUCGCCUUGGGUCAUGUGUUUUUGCUUUAAUCCGUUUAUUAUCCUAGUCUCAUGCUGAAGGUCCCUGGGAGGUGUGAGUUCUUGCAUCCCUGUUGGCUUUAGUUGGGAGAAUUAGGAGUUAGUUAAGCAGGCUCCUGCCAUCCCCUCUUGCGAGGUAGUUUUCUACUUUGGGGACUUGCCAGACCCCUGGGCCUUCGCUGUGCAGCGCUGCCCUCUGCUGGCCACGGUUAGAGGUGCGGGCGGCGCUCAGGCGGGGGCAGGCCGGGCCACGCCCACAGCUAGCAUCGUUCCCUCUGCAGGUGGAGGUGGGGCCUCCACUGGCACUGGACGGUCCACUCCCUUCCUCUCUUCUCUCUUCCUCCCCUCACCCACUAAAUGGGUACGUCAGCCCACCUUCAGCUUCGCACGUGCCUGUGAUCUGCACAACAACCCCCAGAGGCACGGGCUGGGCACAGAACUUGCAGGGAUGAUGAUGUUUCCAGGUCAGCCCGGAAAAGCCAGUGCAGCCAGUCAGACGUUUCUAGAAUGGUAGACUGCCAGUAUCACAGGGAGUCUGAUCUGAAGGGCUUCCAUCCUGGGCUGACGGACACGGAAAGUGAGUGCUGACAGUCUGCUCUGCGCUUUCCCAGAGAGAGUCCCCAGGAGCAAUAUGUAAUCAUCUAAUUAAAACAUCAAUUCUCAGCUGGAGAGAAGGAUGGAAAGAGGACAGGGGGAUGAUAAAGCAAGCACAGUCACGUGUCCACACAGACUCUCGGGGCGCACACAGGUGGUCACUGGAGAAAGCCUUUCAGCUUUGCCGUGUGUUUGAAAAUCCUUAUAGAUAAAUAUUUGGGAGAAUAAACUCUUAAUUUGAAUUUAUUAUUUCCUUCUUUCUUUUGCAAUGCCCAGUUUUUCCUAAGCCUCUCUUUGAUUAUUCAAGUUGCCAGCACCCGGGCAAUUACUUCCUGCAAACAAGUUGUCAGAAGGCGCAAAUAAAUUUUAGACCUAAUUUAAUUCUCAGUUUACUUGCUCAUGAAAAAAAAAAUCUUAAUUUCUCCAAACCACAUCAACCCUUGAUAUGCCAGUUAUGAUUUCUUUUCAAAAGCCGGCUGUGAAAUGCUAAGCCAAUCACUCAGAGACGGUCUGACUGAAUGAAUGACGGCUGGGGAAAGAAGGCCAUGUUCAGAGCAUCCGGGAUGAACGGUGGGUCCCAAGCACAGAUCAAGGGGAGCCAGAGAGGGUGUGUGGGGAUAAAGGGAGAGCAGUGACGGUCAGAAGCCAGCUACUCCAGAAAGGAAGGAGAAAGUGGGCCCUGGUUAUGGUGGGGUUGAGAUAUGGGGUGCCCGGGAAAUGUGGCCAAGGACCCUGACACUCUAACCGCUUUCUGAAAUGUGAAGAUCUCUAAGGAAACCAGCAGGCGGGAGUUGGAUCAAUGCAUUCCUGUGCUGUAGGUGGGCAAUACCUGGAAACAUUACCAAUGCCUCCAAGACUCCCACCAGCAUCGUGUGUGGGGGGACCCACCAGAAGGGAGGCUCCCAGCUCACAUCCCUCACUGCUCCCUGAGAACCACCCACCAGCCUGAUUGGGCCAGGGGCAGACACCUGUCAUGCUGGGCCAGUUC